AACGCACAUUGCGCCCUCCGGUAUUCCGGGGGGCAUGCCUGUUCGAGCGUCAUUACACCACUCCAGCCUGGCUGGGUUUUGGGCGCCGCAGCCUCGCCGGCGCGCCCCAAUGUCUCCGGCUGAGCCGUCCGUCUCUAAGCGUUGUGGCAACUCAAUCCGCUUGCGGGACCGGUCGGUUCGACGCCGUUAAACACCCCACACAAGGUUGACCUCGGAUCAGGUAGGGAUACCCGCUGAACUUAA
RNAcentral lists this unclassified non-coding RNA (243 nucleotides) under uncultured fungus. Its description in RNAcentral is "partial contains 5.8S ribosomal RNA, internal transcribed spacer 2, and large subunit ribosomal RNA". The stretch from base 1 to 52 matches the Rfam family "5.8S ribosomal RNA", at positions 103 to 154 of the family's 154-position model. Lineage: Eukaryota; Fungi. The record is from RNAcentral.